UACGUAGGGGGCAAGCGUUGUCCGGAUUUAUUGGGCGUAAAGAGCGUGUAGGCGGCCAGGGAGGUCCGUUGUGAAAACUCGAGGCUCAACCUCGAGACGCCGAUGGAAACCCCCUGGCUAGAGUCCGGAAGAGGAGAGUGGAAUUCCUGGUGUAGCGGUGAAAUGCGCAGAUAUCAGGAAGAACACCCGUGGCUAAGGCGGCUCUCUGGGCCGAUACUGACGCUGAGGAGCGAAAGCGUGGGGAGCGAACAGG
RNAcentral lists this ribosomal RNA (253 nucleotides) under uncultured bacterium. Its description in RNAcentral is "partial 16S ribosomal RNA". It matches the Rfam family "Bacterial small subunit ribosomal RNA", at positions 524 to 776 of the family's 1533-position model. The record is from RNAcentral.